GACGAACGCUGGCGGCGUGCCUAAUACAUGCAAGUCGAACGAACUGAUGCUGGAACUUGUUCCAGUUGACGUGAGUGGCGAACGGGUGAGUAACACGUGGGGAACCUACCCUUCAGCGGGGGAUAACCGUCGGAAACGAUGGCUAAUACCGCAUAACACUUUGUACCACAUGGUACGGAGUUAAAAGACGGCUUCGGCUGUCACUGAAGGAUGGUCCCGCGGUGCAUUAGCUAGUUGGUAAGGUAAUGGCUUACCAAGGCAGUGAUGCAUAGCCGACCUGAGAGGGUGAUCGGCCACAUUGGGACUGAGACACGGCCCAA
This 320-nucleotide ribosomal RNA is filed under the name uncultured bacterium. Its description in RNAcentral is "bacterial SSU rRNA". It matches the Rfam family "Bacterial small subunit ribosomal RNA", at positions 28 to 334 of the family's 1533-position model. The record is from RNAcentral.